CGGGGGGAGCAAGCGUUGUUCGGAUUUACUGGGCGUAAAGGGCGCGUAGGCGGCCUCUGCAAGUCGACUGUGAAAUCUCCGGGCUUAACCCGGAACGGUCAGCCGAUACUGCAGGGCUAGAGUGCAGAAGGGGCAACUGGAAUUCUCGGUGUAGCGGUGAAAUGCGUAGAUAUCGAGAGGAACAUCUGCGGCGAAGGCGGGUUGCUGGGCUGACACUGACGCUGAGGCGCGAAAGCUAGGGGAGCGAACGGGAUUAGAUACCCCGGUAGUCCUAGCCUUAAACGAUGAAUGCUUGGUGUCUGGGGUUUUAUAGCCCCCGGGUGCCGUCGCUAACGCUUUAAGCAUUCCGCCUGGGGAGUACGGUCGCAAGACUG
This 374-nucleotide ribosomal RNA is filed under the name uncultured organism. Its description in RNAcentral is "bacterial SSU rRNA". It matches the Rfam family "Bacterial small subunit ribosomal RNA", at positions 526 to 896 of the family's 1533-position model. The record is from RNAcentral.